GCCUCUGUGGCGCAAUUGGCUAGCGCGUUCGGCUGUUAACCGGAAGGAUGGUGGUUUAAGCCCACCCAGGGGCG
RNAcentral lists this transfer RNA (74 nucleotides) under Daphnia galeata. It matches the Rfam family "tRNA". From Rfam's summary of the family: Transfer RNA (tRNA) molecules are approximately 80 nucleotides in length. Their secondary structure includes four short double-helical elements and three loops (D, anti-codon, and T loops). Lineage: Eukaryota; Metazoa; Arthropoda; Branchiopoda; Diplostraca; Daphniidae. The record is from Rfam by way of RNAcentral.